GUUUCAGCACCAGGGAAAAAAUUAAUUUCAGUAGCAGAAGCACUAAAGCAGGGUGCUUAGUUAAGCCUAUGGUAGAGACGGUUAUAGAGCAAAUGGCAUAUGAAUGAGCAGGGAGAAGUUGAGCACAGAAGAGAAGAAAAGGAGGAAGUUUAUAGCCCUAUUUCCUAACCUAUUCAAGGGACAGAAUCAAGACUGGGAGAACUAAAACUCUCCUCCACUGUGAUCUACUAGAUGAAGGCUUGUCCAAAAGGAAUACAUCAAAGAGAUGCAGUUUCUAUUUCUGCAUAAGCUCUGAAACAAUGUGUUAACUUUAUCAUCAGUGCUUUCAAGGAUAAACAGAACUCAACCCUUGCACCACUAAUAUCAACCAACCACAUGACUGCUGCCCCUCUCUACCAACCAGCAUUUCUUCCUGAUAAGAGACCACCAACCAGGGAGUUGACUGGCAAGAUGGCCAAAUAGGAACAGGUCUGGCCUGCAGCUUCCAUUGAGAUCAACACAGAAGCCAAGGAAAGUUUCUUGUCUCUCCAUGGAGUUGAGGACAAAUCACUGAGCCACAUCCUGAUAAUUCAGCAGCAUUCUGCUAAAGGCCAACACAGCCCAGAGAAACUCAAUGAAAGGCACAUGAUCAGGCAGUACUGGGGAAAUGAGCCUGGCAACCAUCAUGGAAAUAAAGGCUCCUUAUUUCCAAAAUGUUCAAGAGGGGAAAAAAAGCUGUUGCUCAAAAGUUGGCUUUAGAAAUGUGAAGCAUAAUAGAAAACACUUCUUCCAAUCUACACUGCACAAAAGCCCCCUUCAUCUGGAGGACAAGAUUUAAUUUCCAAUUGUGAAAACCUUCACUUCAACCUCUCCCCACCUAUUUGCAACCUUAUUUCAGUGAAUAGAAGACUAUUAGCAUUAUGGCUGCAUUUAGCCAUGUUUUAACUAAAAUCUUAGCUCAAAAAUGUAAAUGAAUCAUGCCAAAUGUAGCUUAAAGGAAAUACAAUUGUGUAUGGAAGAUGAAAUCUCCCUUUGGAAACUGAAUUUUCACUUCUGUAACUACUACUGUAUAUGCCCUCUGACUGGCAGAAUUAAGAUCUAUCUUAUCUCCAGCUAAUUCCAUCAGUAAAGAAAGAAA
Long non-coding RNA from Symphalangus syndactylus (siamang), 1117 nucleotides. RefSeq lists it as uncharacterized. NCBI's taxonomy places the organism in Eukaryota, Metazoa, Chordata, Mammalia, Primates, Hylobatidae. The record is from RefSeq and is a predicted model, not a curated record.